Podarcis muralis (Common wall lizard) is the source of this 6164-nucleotide non-coding RNA. The record is from RefSeq and is a predicted model, not a curated record. NCBI's taxonomy places the organism in Eukaryota, Metazoa, Chordata, Lepidosauria, Squamata, Lacertidae.
UGUUUGUUUUUGAAGUGCCAGAUCUACAGUAUGCAAAAUGUUUUCUACCUCUUUUACUUCUUUAGGACCUAUUGCAACCAACUGCAUACCUGAAUGUUUGAUAGCUUGUCAAUCUCUCGCUCUUUCUCCUUCUCUCCCUCCAGAUAUCCUGCAAGUGAAUUAUUUGCAUUUCUAUAUGACAUCUUUUGAAACUUACCACAUGCUUUUUCAAGACAUGUCUGCACAAGUUGGAUUAAAAAAAAAUCUAUGUGAGUCCUGCCACAGAAAAAUAAAUAUUGUUGCAAUGAUGCUUCAAAGUGACAGGGGAUGGGAAGGUAAGCCGUAGGAAAAAGUGUGUGUGGAAUGAAGUUAUGGGAAGAAACUAUAUAGCAAGAAACAGAAUGUGGUGACCAGGAACCAGUUCACAUAUAUGAGCAUGGGUCAAAUAUACAUCAAUAUGAGCAAACAGAGUCUGGGGUGGCACAUGCAUAAUUUUAUUUUGCCAGAUUUUGGUGGGAACCGUACCUCAUUUAAUCUUUUUGAACAUAGUAGGUAAGUGGCAACAGUUUUACUCAUAUAUGUUUGUUUCUGUUUAAUAGUGAAAUACCAUGUAUGUUUCGUGAUAAGCUAACUGGGACCUACUCAUAGGUACAUGUGUACAUUAUUGCAGCUUUGGGGAUUGUUUUGUUUUUUACCUAUUUUUGCUAUUUUUUUAUCAUGUGUUGUUUUAUUACAUUUCUGUUAGCUACCAUGGGGACAUGAUUAUGUUAGAACAUAUAUACCACAUAUAUGCACGAAUUAGCAGCAUUUUUAAUAUUUUUUUGCAUGUAGCAAUAGACCUGCUUGUUCUUAGAAGUAGAAUAAUUUAUUUGUAAAGGCAGAGUGGAAUCUGGCCCCAGGCUUUCAACUUAGCUUUAAUUUGCCUCAUCAUUUCCUUUCUUGUGCAUGACCAGGGUCUUUCCCUCAGUCUUUGCUAUCUUAAGAACCCCCAGCUCCUCAGCCUCAGACACUCAGUGCUUUUCUUCCCAGAAAUUAGCCAAUCCCCAGCACCAAACGUUUACCAGUCAGCCCAUGAUUAUAGCAGUGAAUGGAAUUCUUUAUGUGAGAGCAACAUCUCAGCUGAAUUGUACCCCAGAGCCCAAACAUGUCAUUCGGAGUCUGUCUCUGAAAAUCAGUGAAGUCACUGCUGCCCAAGAGACUUUCCAGGAUCAGGUACACUGAUCUGAACAAAACUGAACUCCAGUCCCUUGAGGAGGAACUUCUGAAGGUCACUCACCAGAGUAGGAAUUCUGAAAGAGUGACCAGACAUAUUGGAUGUGAUUGCUUGUCCAUCUGAUAAUAUGGACAUUGUGCUUCACAGGACAGCAUGGAGCCUUCAGAUCUCUUGACUUGAUGUUUGACCUUAAAUAGAUCAUUCAAAAGUGAAGCUUUCCCCUUUAAAAGAGACAUUCUGGAUUUUUUCCAGGUAGUUACCAGAUUAACUUGCCUCCAUUUAAAAGUAAAACUCCCUAUGCUUCACCACCCAAGUGCCAUGUCCAACCAAUUCACUUGAGCCUUUGACAAAGCUUGACAGCUAAGUUAAGUUCUGUGUGAUUCAGAAGUCAAUACGAAUAAACUGAAGGCAGAAUUGUUCACCCUCUGAUUAUGACAAUAAAAGAAUCAAGAGAGAAUCCUGCAGAUCACAGUCAAUGCACCCACGAGUCAGACAGACAGGCAUUGGUCCUAAGUGCAAAUCACAGCACAAUCAGCUAAUUUUCUGGGUCCUGUUUGUACAAUGGAUGCUUUAGCUUUGACCAACAGGAUUUUCCAUUGGUUCUAAUAUUGGGCUUAAAGUGCUCUAGCCUGCAAGAUAGCUCAGUUGGUAGACCAUAAGGCUUUUAAUCUCAGGGUUGUGGGUUUGAGCCCCCCAUUGGGCAAAAAUAUUCCUUCAUUGCAGGGGGUUGGACCCCCGUGGUCCCUUCCAGUUCUAUGGUUCUAUUGGGCCCUAGAAUCUGAGAAACUGAAGCACUUCCAAAUGCCUAGAAUUACAAAAUAACUAUUUUAAUUGAUGGCAAAUGAUAACCAUGAAUCUUGUAAUAGUAAUAAAGAAACCUCUGAGAAUGCAAAUGAAGAGGCUGGUAAAUCAACUGAUAUAUUCCUGAUCAUAGUUUAAUUGACCAACUUUUUGUAGCUUGCUCAUUUUUAUUUGUUACACUACACUAUGCUUUAAAUGAGUUUCUAUAGGUGGCCUCUUACUUUUACAAAGAUUCUCUAUUGUUGCUGCUUUAAAGCAGCCUUCCCCAGCCUGCUGUUGUUGGACCCCAGUUCCUCCAGCCAGCAUAGUCUAUGGUUAGAGAUUAUGGGAAUUGUCAUCUAAAAUAUCUGGAGGGUGUCGGGUUGAAGACGGCUGCUAAAAAUAUUGCAUCAUAUCAUUUUAUUUUAUUUUUAGUAUCUAAUGUUUCUAUAGGGAGCAUGUCACCUCCUGUAUUGACUAGAAAGGUGAUUAAUAUGUUAUUGCUAAAUAAUAAUAAGAAAUAAUGAUUAGAUUAUAUGAACUUCCAUCAACUGUCACUGCAGAAUAGAAGAAUGCACUGAAGUUCCUCACUGGAUCAAUAUGACUUCUGUAUUAACAAUACAGUCAUUUAAUUUAAUUUAUUUCUGAAGACAUUUAUAUGUUCUGAUUGUGUUGCAUAGUGGCUUUUCACAAUAUCCCCAGUACCACAUUUGAUGGUUAGGAAAUGGAUUGCAUUAAUAUUUUUAUUCCAUACGCCACAUAAUGGAAUGAUGUCUAUGAACAUGAUGCAAAAUCCAUUAUUAUAUAUUUAGGCCAUUUAUUGAGUUUACUCACAUUCUGAAAUAUUGCUAACAAUACCUAUUAAUAAGUGUCAAUGGUGUGUGUGUUUGUGUUCAAAGUCAAAAUUCCAGAUCAUGUAUGUAUGCUGCAAAACCAAUUUCUGCAAACCAACUGGAGAAAUUAUUUCACUACCAAGAGAGAACAACCUAAUUUACUUUCCAGCUCCACAGCCAUCGUCUUCUAGCCACCUUGCCUGGUACUCAUCUGCUUAAUGAUGAGUCUGGUAUUGAUUUUGAGAAUAAUGAUCAAGGGUAAGGUUGUGGAUUAAUGAUGGACUGGGAGGAGUUGAUAGCUAUAAGCAGAGCCAAAGGCAGUUAACCUCUUCUAGCCAUUAGUCCCAAGGUGCUGCUGAGUACUGACUUACUUCUUGUCAUUAUAAGGAAUGUAAUGAAGACUAAAAGCAAACUACAGCCUAAUGGUUUGUGAUGGGGGCCUGGAAGAAUAGAGACAAUAGUCAGUCAGAUAAAACAUUUGACAAAUUUUGACCAAACUCAGUAGUCCUGUUAUAUUGUACAUGGGCUUUUAAAAUGUUUUGAUAGAAUUAUUUUAUUGUGUAUUUUAAUUAUGUAUGGAUUUUAUAAUUGAUUUUAUACUUCUAAACUUAGAAGCAAUUUUGGCAUGUGAGCAGUAUAUAAAUACAAAAAAAUAAUAAUUAAUUAAUAUUAAUUGCAUUCACGGAAUGCUCCAGGAAGAAAUAUCUGCUUAACUGUCCUCUAGAUCCUUCUAAUCACAAAGCUCUAGAUUUUGGAUCAUGUAUUGGGAUCUCUUAUGCCAAAUAUUUUGCUUGCCAAAGGCAGUGGUUCUUUUGGAUUUGAGAGCAACAAGCAGUUGCUUGUUGGGUGAAGGCUGUGUGUUUUAGGCAAGCAUUAGACAUUAACAUGCACAAUAUACCCUACUUAGACUAGAAAAAGGCAAACUACCAAGUUCUUAAACCUAGCUAGAAUAAAACACAUUCCAGACUGAUUCAUUAUAAUGUUCCAUCUGCUGCCAAAGAAUGCUUAGACACAGUGAAUGAUCCCCCUUGGAACUGGCUGAUGCGUAGCACCCUCUCAAGAUCUCUUAGUCUAGUCUGAGUUCUGCCUGACAGCAUUGAUAGCGCCUCCAGCUCUCAUAUUUACGUAUCCUGCUGAAUAAGGUAACUCAUGCCCAUGUGGAUCACAGGUCAGUGGUCCCUAGGACCCUUCCAUAAAUAAGUCCCUAAUUAGCGAUGUAUGUAUUUAAAGUUUUCUGUUUUAACCAUCAAGCUGAAAAUGUGGCAACUGCUGCUACUUCCUCCUUUUUCUCUCCCUUGUCUUCCAUGUUGUUUUCGAAUGACUGGCAGGGGAAGACUAUGGACAGAAAUGCAUGUUGUGCUGUAUAUUAAUGUUGGCACUUCUCUUGACCAAAGCGUGUGCAUUCUGUAAUACAAGAGAACCAAAGAGUUUAACUGUUCUACAGCAGGUAAGGGAACCCAUUCAUACUUAGCUCUUUAAUCAUCAUGCUAUUCAAUUAAGUGUUUCCUAGCAGACUGAACACUGUGAGAAACUUAUAGAUUUUCCUUGUCUGUUUUGCUUUUAGAGUCAAUCAAAUUGAUGUGUCAAAUUACCCUUUGUCCUGUAUGAAAUAGUAGCUAGAGUAGUUUUAAUUUAACCUAAUUUGAGGUGCCUUUUUCUAUAUCUGAGGCCUGUUUAAACCGUGUGCAUUUCCCCCCUUUAGGAAGACAGCAAAGGGAUGAAGAUUACAUAUUUGGAAUCCAGUGGCCAUGUUCUGCAAGGCAGAACCACUUGCUUGCUCCUGCCAAGAAGAAAAACACCAAACUCCAAAAGAAUUUGUAAUGUUAAGACUUUAUUUACAUUCAUAGUCUGGUUCUACAUAAUAGGUUUCUUGCAGCCAAAGUAUCCACCUUCCAAAAUGCUGGAAGUAAUUUAGGCUUUCUGCAAACUCAGGUUCCUAGAUGUCAACAAAUGUAUUUUCAUACAAUAAACACUUAUUUUUGCCCACUUAGAUUUACAAGCAGUUCAAGAUGCAGGUCAAAAUAAUUUCUGUUCUGGAAAGUGAUGUGACAGUGUUGGGGAAGAAUUGGGGCUUUUUUUCCAGCCAGAACUCGCCAGAACUAAGGUGGAUGCCAUUGCAGUUCUAAGAAAAUGAAAGUGGUGUUCAUGCUGCUCCUCAGGAUUGGGGGACCCGACAGAACAGUGAGAGAUAGGUCACUGGAGCUGCAGAAUCAGGUGCCCCAACUUUGUCGGAACGUAAGUGCUUUCUACUCGUGUUAAGUCUCUGUUGGAGAUGUGUGGAGGAGCAGAGUUUCAGUUGUAAACAGAAGCAAUGCUUCAGUUGUAAAGCUGCUGAUAAUCAUUCUUGCUACCCUGUUUCCUGCAUCUACCUGCUGGCCUGUAAAGCAUGUUGGAAGAAAAAGAGAGCUGCGACAGCAAAAUCCAUUACAUCAGAAUUCCGGCAAGCUGUGUUAAUGUAUUGGCUGCACUGUGAGUGCUGUACACCUGCGAUGCCUCAAGGUGGGGGUUGGGUGGUGGUUUUGUUUCAGUUUGUAUAUGCUGCAAGAUACGCUGCGGAAUCCUUGACUGAUGAACUUCUUUGACGGAUGACUGAGCCCAAGGUGCCCAUUAGCGCUUAAGUAUUUCACCAAUUAUAUGCAGACACUAACAGCAUCUUAAAGGUUAAAUGUAUUUUCAUAACUCUGUUCACAUAAGCAAAUCCACCUUAGGAUUAACAGUGAUUUAUUCUUGUUGGUUAUUGACGAUAAACUGCCAAGAGGCAGAAAGAUAAUUAACUCAGAUAUAAUGAUUCUGUGACCAAUUAUAUUGGAUAUAUCUGAGAUCAUUAACUCUGCAUCUACAACAGGAAGCAAAAACACUAAGCAAAAUCAUUUUUAGAAUUACUGAGUCAUAAUAAUAAGAAAGGGAACUAAUACAAUACAACAGCAGGUUUGAUUGGCUUCACUUAGCCCUUUUGCUUAGUGCUAAUAUUAUUUGCCAACUGUGCCUGAAAAGGAGGUCCUUCGUUUCUAACUGCUUAAUAAUUUGUUUUUAUUAAAUGUUUGAAACAGGGAUUUUUACCAUUACCAUCUUGAGAGCAUUUACCCAGUAUAAGCCACAUAUCAGGGGUAUAAAUUUAUGAAUGCGCUAUGGAGAUAUAUAAAUGUCGGUUAAAUUAAUAGGAUGGAUAAGCAGGUUUGUUCAUACACUGGCUUCAAUGGAAAUUAAGCAUGCCUUGAGAUGCCCUGGAUUGUGCCUGUGAUAAAUUACAUUUAUAGCACCAUUUUGGAGGGUAAUGGGAACAGUGAUGGAGGGCAGAAGAAGAAGAAGAAGAGUUUGGACUUGAUAUCCCGCUUUAUCACUACCCUAAGGAGUCUCAA